This 489-nucleotide ribosomal RNA is filed under the name Burkholderia sp. Hu45B. Its description in RNAcentral is "bacterial SSU rRNA". It matches the Rfam family "Bacterial small subunit ribosomal RNA", at positions 36 to 517 of the family's 1533-position model. The record is from RNAcentral. Lineage: Bacteria; Pseudomonadati; Pseudomonadota; Betaproteobacteria; Burkholderiales; Burkholderiaceae.
UAAUUGGCGGUCAUGCUUACCAUGCAGUCGAACGGCAGCACGGGUGCUUGCACCUGGUGGCGAGUGGCGAACGGGUGAGUAAUACAUCGGAACAUGUCCUGUAGUGGGGGAUAGCCCGGCGAAAGCCGGAUUAAUACCGCAUACGAUCUACGGAUGAAAGCGGGGGACCUUCGGGCCUCGCGCUAUAGGGUUGGCCGAUGGCUGAUUAGCUAGUUGGUGGGGUAAAGGCCUACCAAGGCGACGAUCAGUAGCUGGUCUGAGAGGACGACCAGCCACACUGGGACUGAGACACGGCCCAGACUCCUACGGGAGGCAGCAGUGGGGAAUUUUGGACAAUGGGCGAAAGCCUGAUCCAGCAAUGCCGCGUGUGUGAAGAAGGCCUUCGGGUUGUAAAGCACUUUUGUCCGGAAAGAAAUCCUUGGCUCUAAUACAGUCGGGGGAUGACGGUACCGGAAGAAUAAGCACCGGCUAACUACGUGCCAGCAGCGG